AAAGAUAAUCUAAGUGAUAUUUCCCCGAAAACAUAAGAUCUAAGUGUAAUAUUAAUUAUAGGUAAAAAUUUAAAGUGCUGUGGCAUCAGUAUAUAAUAAAUAGUACCUUAGUGGUGAAAGGCCUACAAUUAUGUGGAUAACUGGAUAGUUAUUAAAUAUAUUAAGUUUAUAAUAAACUUACGAAGUGAUAAGAUUUCGUAAUAAGAAUUUAAGGUUUUAUUUAAAAUUACUAUUAAUUAAUACUUAACAGUGCUAUAUUCUUGUUAAAAUAAUUUUACAAAUAAAUAUUCUCUAGUAAUAACUUAUUUAUUUUUAAUUUAUUAAAAAUUUGAUAAUGUAUAAAUAAGUAUACUAUAUAAAUUUAACUAAAUAAACUCGGCAAAUAUUGUAUACGACUGUUUAACAAAAACAUAGCCGGUAGUUAUUAUAUUAUCGGUGUAACCUGCCCGGUGAAUUUUUAACGGCCGCAGUACUGUGACUGUGCAAAGGUAGCAUAAUCAUUUGACUUUUAAUUGAAGUCUGGUAUGAAAGGAUAAACGUAUAUAAGCUGUAUCUAGGUUUAAAUUUGUUUAAAUUAUUUAUAGGGUGAAAAUACCCUAAAUGACAAAAAUAGACGAGAAGACCCUUAGAAUUUUAAGAAUAAGUAUAAAAUAAAUAUAAGAUGAUUUUUGUUGGGGCAACAUUUUUUCAUAUAAUAAAAAUUUUUAUAUUACAAUAUAACGAAAAAUUUAAUAAAGAAAAAAUUACCUUAGGGAUAACAGCAUAAUUUUAAGUAAAGAUUGUGACCUCGAUGUUGGACUAGGAAUUAUUAAGGCUAGUUGUUUUAAUACAAUAUGU
Molecule: ribosomal RNA, 837 nt
Filed under: Montenegrina rugilabris rugilabris
Lineage: Eukaryota; Metazoa; Mollusca; Gastropoda; Stylommatophora; Clausiliidae
Description: partial 16S ribosomal RNA
Source: RNAcentral